Molecule: ribosomal RNA, 253 nt
Filed under: uncultured bacterium
Lineage: Bacteria
Description: partial 16S ribosomal RNA
Rfam family: Bacterial small subunit ribosomal RNA
Source: RNAcentral
UACAGGGGAGGCAAGCGUUGUUCGGAAUUACUGGGCGUAAAGGGCUCGUAGGCGGCCAACUAAGUCCGACGUGAAAUCCCCAAGCUUAACUUGGGAACUGCGUCGGAUACUGGAUGGCUUGAAUUCGGGAGAGGGAUGCAGAAUUCCAGGUGUAGCGGUGAAAUGCGUAGAUAUCAGGAGGAACACCGGUGGCGAAGGCGGGUCUCUGGGCCGAUACUGACGCUGAGGAGCGAAAGCGUGGGGAGCGAACAGG